GAUGAACGCUGGCGGCGUGCCUAAUACAUGCAAGUCGAGCGAACGGACGAGAAGCUUGCUUCUCUGAUGUUAGCGGCGGACGGGUGAGUAACACGUGGAUAACCUACCUAUAAGACUGGGAUAACUUCGGGAAACCGGAGCUAAUACCGGAUGAUAUUUUGAACCGCAUGGUUCGAAAGUGAAAGACGGUCUUGCUGUCACUUAUAGAUGGAUCCGCGCUGCAUUAGCUAGUUGGUAAGGUAACCGCUUACCAAGGCAACGAUGCAUAGCCGACCUGAGAGGGUGAUCGGCCACACGGGAACUGAGACACGGGCCAGACUCCUACGGGAGGCAGCAGUAGGGAAUCUUCCGCAAUGGGCGAAAGCCUGACGGAGCAACGCCGCGUGAGUGAUGAAGGUCUUCGGAUCGUAAAACUCUGUUAUUAGGGAAGAACAUAUGUGUAAGUAACUGUGCACAUCUUGACGGUACCUAAUCAGAAAGCCACGGCUAACUACGUG
RNAcentral lists this ribosomal RNA (497 nucleotides) under uncultured bacterium. RNAcentral's name for it is "partial 16S ribosomal RNA". It matches the Rfam family "Bacterial small subunit ribosomal RNA", at positions 28 to 507 of the family's 1533-position model. The record is from RNAcentral.